This 76-nucleotide transfer RNA is filed under the name Rhodococcus erythropolis. RNAcentral describes it as "tRNA-Leu". It matches the Rfam family "tRNA". From Rfam's summary of the family: Transfer RNA (tRNA) molecules are approximately 80 nucleotides in length. Lineage: Bacteria; Bacillati; Actinomycetota; Actinomycetes; Mycobacteriales; Nocardiaceae. The record is from RNAcentral.
GCCCUCGUAUCCCAAUUGGCAGAGGAAACGGAUUCAAAACCCGUCCAGUGUGAGUUCGAGUCUCACCGAGGCACCA